CAUAGAGCAGCGCUGUCAUCGCUCAUCAAAUGAAAGGAUAAUGUUAAUGUUAUACGGGUAAUGUUACCACAAAGAGCCUAUUGCUUUCUUCAGCGGACAUUCAAACUAAUGUUUUGAAUUGUGAAUAUGAUAAAGUAUUGAGCUGAAGAAUGGUUUCUGUAUCAUGCAGAAGAAAGCCGUACACGUCUUAUUGCUUCGACUGACCUGAUUGGGAGCUGAUGUGGAUGUAUUGUUGCAGGCCGUCAUAUGGCGACAAUGCUUCUACCAUAUUUUUGCUGUCCCGCAACUCCUGUAUAUUGCUGUCCAGAAUACGAAAGCAGAAAUUUCAAACACUGGUUGUUUCCAUGCAGUUCCAGUUUAUGGUGACUGAAGCUUUGGAGCCUCAAAAAGAACACAAAAGAG
Molecule: long non-coding RNA, 402 nt
Organism: Labeo rohita (rohu)
Lineage: Eukaryota; Metazoa; Chordata; Actinopteri; Cypriniformes; Cyprinidae
Exons: 3
Source: RefSeq, a predicted model, not a curated record